GAUGAAUGCUGGCGGCGUGCCUAACACAUGCAAGUCGAGCGGCAACGAGGGGUGCUUGCACCCUUUCGGCUAGCGGCGGACGGCUGAGUAACGCGUGGGAACCUUCCCCAAAGUGAGGAAUAACUUCCGGAAAGGGGAGCUAAUACCGCAUAUUAUUUUCGGAUCAAAUGGUUUAUUCGCGUUGGGAGCUGCUGGCGUCGGAUUCGGUGGGUGGUGAGGUAAUGUCUCUCCAAGCCGAGGAUCCGUAGCUGGUCUGAGAGGAUGACCAGCCAGACUGGAACUGAGACACGGUCCAGAAUCCUACGCGAGGCAGCAGUGAGGAAUGUUCCACAAUGGGCGAAAGCCUGAUGGAGCAACGCCGCGUGAAGGACGAAGGCCUUCGGGUUGUAAACUGCUUUUAUAAGUGAGGAAUAUGACGGUAACUUAUGAAUAAGGAUCGGCUAACUACGUG
This 451-nucleotide ribosomal RNA is filed under the name uncultured bacterium. RNAcentral describes it as "partial 16S ribosomal RNA". It matches the Rfam family "Bacterial small subunit ribosomal RNA", at positions 28 to 507 of the family's 1533-position model. The record is from RNAcentral.